GAGGCAGACAUGUGAGAAGAAGCUUUAAAGUACACGUCUGUAUUCUGUGCAGUGGUACGUAUAUUCAGUAGGGUCUCACCCUACACAUACAGUUUUGCAGCCUAUCCAAAAGGAGAUUAAGGCAUUUGUCAGAGCAACAGUUUAUUCCCCAUCUGCUGGUGGACCUGGAAGAGGCUGAGCCAAAGAGAGGAGGAGGAGGGAGAAGGGAAGCAGGAAGCGGAUACCAGGACUGCAGAUCUAUCAUGGGGGAAGGAACAGAUCCUUUAUUGGUGCAGCAGUGUCUGGGACUAGGAAAUAGGCCCAAAAGGUCAGACAAGUUUUGAGUGUCCAGAGUAACUGCAGUAGCCCUGGGUGCUGGAGAAUUGGCCCUGGAGCACGUGCAGAGAAGGACAAUGAAUCUGGUGAAUGGCUUGGAGCACAAGUCUGAUGAGGAGCAGCUGAGGGAACUGAGAUUGUUCAAUCUGAAGAAGAGGAGACUCAGGGGAGACCUCAUUGCACUCCUCAGACACCUGAAAGGAGGUUACAGCAAGGUUCAUGUUCAUCAUUUAUAGCUUGACUGCAAGAGGUGACCCGUGCCAGAUGCUGCAGAACAAGGACUGGACAAUUUUAGAACAUCCUGGACAAGAAGAAAGAUUUCUCCCAGUAUUAGGUUGAAAUGCAAGUUUGGCCUAGCUUCUGAAAUGCAUGGGGGAAAAAGAAGGGAGAGGCUGUACUUCAUAAAUUCUCCUUCAUGUGGAUCUGAAACUGAGAUAUUUCUUUCCCACAUGAAUGCACAGCUAUUUUCCCUCCUUUUAAAAAUGAUCAUUAAAAAAAAAAAUAUUGUGAAACAAAGGUUUUUGGUCAUUAAAAGGACAGAAAAAGCUCUGUUGUGACUGCUGGCAAAAACUGGGCUGCAGCUAAUGCUGAGCAGUCAGCUCCCAGUUAUCCUGGUCAUCUGCUUUCUUACAGCUCCUCAGAGCGCUCCUCAUAUGGGAAUAUCUGUUUUUUUCAGUCAUAACUGUUAUUGCCUGGCCCUGAGGGAGUUGAGUAAAUUAAUUGAAUUGCUCAAUUUUAUUUACUUUGUUUCUCUUUUUUAAAGCAAAACAGCCCAUAUUUCAAAAUCCCUUUGUAAUGGAUUAAAACACGAAAGAGUCCCUCGAAGUCCAUACAAACAUGCCAAAUCAAUUACAGCAUAAUUAGCCAGAACUGUUAUUUGUUGAAAUCCUGUCAGCAAAAAUAACUUGCCAUUCCCCUUCAAAUUGCUCCAUCAUCUUCAUUUUCUUGACAAAGAUUUUGAAAGUAAGACCACCGACCCUCCAGACUGAAGGAAGGGAAUUAAAUACAGAUGUUCUAAGCAUUAUAAACCAAGGAAUGUUGGAAAAUGGUGGAAAAAGAGAGGACAAAGCUGGCCUGAGUGAACUGUGGCUGCCCUCCCAGGGCAGGAUGGGAGCCUUGGGCGGGCAGGCAGGCAGCACUCAUGGGGCAGGCUGGACCCUGUUUGCCCUGGUGUGAUGCUGCAAGCUGCUGCCCCUGAUUUAAGCCAGCACAGACAGAAGGAGGCCCACUUCUGGCAAGCUUUAUCUGCAAUUCAUUUAGGAAGGAGGCAGGUCCUCUCUUCAGACCUAAUUGGAAACAGGCAGCCUUCUCCUAAUUGUGUGCUCUAACUGGUUCAUGUGCAUUAGCAAAGGAAAUUGUAGAGGAACAGGGUUCUGAGUUGUCAUUAAUUUCCUGGACUGGAAAGUCCAUACAUUGGGAACAUCGGCUGUUUAUACAUACAUCUUUCACACUGUUCUGCUCCUUUGUGUAGAAGCUUGACCCCAGCUGAAAGCAUCAUGACUUUUUUUUUCUGCUCAAAUUCUAAACAAGUAUGUAGAAAGUCAGUGAGUUUCCGAAGGGGUUCCUCAUAACCUGCUUUACUUUAAUUAAAAAACAAAAUCAAAACAACAAAAACUUAAUGUCAAAAGACAGCUGCUAAAUUCAUUUUUACAUUCCUCCAAAAUACCUUUUAAUGUUUGAUUGUGUCCACCUGCAGGGAAUGCUGUAAGAAAGUGGUCUGUUUCAGUUAAAAUGAUGCAAAAAUAUCCAUUUGUGGCAGCUGAAGCAAAAGGUGGCUUCUAGGGCUACCAUUUUCCUCUGGGCAGGGUGGUGGUUGUGGUGGUAGUGGGUAAAAAUGUUGGCUCUGCCUUUGUGCCAAAGGCACCUGGCUACCCAGUAAAGCCUUCAUGGGAAAGCUUUGCUGAGGUGGCUGCUCUGUCCUAACUCAGGUCAAACUUGGAACAUUUGAACCGAUGUGAAUGCACAAGUCAAAUGUUCACGUUCUUAAUGUGCGUCCUGUAGCUCCUUUAGUAUCAACCCUCUCUUAAGUUAAGCCUUCAAGGUGUUUGGGCAUUGCUUUACUGGAACUUGAAGCUGGUUCCACGCAUCCUGAAGCCUUUGGAGACUUCAGAACCUGGUGCAACCAGUCUGGAAGGAUACCAAGCCAAAGGAGCUGAUCCCAGCAACUCCUGCGCAUAGUCCUGCAUUGCAGACUGUGGUGUAUGGAGGUCUGUGGGACACCCUGCUGCAUUUCCUACUUUUCUACAAUGCAAGACACCAGAGUUCAGAUCCACAUAUGGAGCAAAGCUGUGUUUGUUUAUAUACCUACUCAAUAAAAGCUGUUACUGGGAACCCAGCUGUGUCUUUAUGAUUUCCUCACGCUACUAACGAGAAAGAUUUCCUUAACAGUAUGCUAUUAAUUGUCAUCCAGGCUGAAUGAAAAAUAAAUUCACAGUUCAUAGAUGGAAAUUGCACACACCUGAUUUAAAGAGAUGACAACAUGUGCUGUCCUUCAGACUUUAUGUACAGCUAGAGAAAGAUAUGAGGCUUUGCUGAAUUGUUCUAGUCUCUGUAUUGAAAAGAAAGAAGGCUGAAGAAGGAGAGUUCGGACUGACAGGGAAAGCUUUCUGGCUUGAAAUUGCGUAUGCUUAUUUCAUUAAGUGAAUAUUCAGUAGAUCUUCUUUUUAUCCAGUGAAAAUUUAAAUAACUUGGGUCCACAUCUCUUCUGUUUACGAUUUGAAGCCUUCAAUAAAUAGCCAACGGGAUGAGAACAAGAAAUCCUUUCUUCAUUUGGCAACUUUAAGAGGUUUACAUCCUACAAAGUCACAUGUGUUCUGAAUAUAGUUACAGUAAUAUAAUGCAAAAACAGCAAUAAAAC
Molecule: long non-coding RNA, 3172 nt
Filed under: Gallus gallus (chicken)
Lineage: Eukaryota; Metazoa; Chordata; Aves; Galliformes; Phasianidae
Source: RNAcentral